RNAcentral lists this transfer RNA (74 nucleotides) under Amborella trichopoda. It matches the Rfam family "tRNA". Rfam says of the family: Transfer RNA (tRNA) molecules are approximately 80 nucleotides in length. Their secondary structure includes four short double-helical elements and three loops (D, anti-codon, and T loops). Lineage: Eukaryota; Viridiplantae; Streptophyta; Magnoliopsida; Amborellales; Amborellaceae. The record is from Rfam by way of RNAcentral.
GGAAUUGUAGCUCAUCUGGUAAAGCACUUGCUUUGUAUGCGAGAGAGCAUGGGGUUCACGUCCCUGCACCUCCA